GACGAACGCUGGCGGCGUGCUUAACACAUGCAAGUCGAACGCUGAAGCUCAGCUUUUGUUGGGUGGAUGAGUGGCGAACGGGUGAGUAACACGUGAGUAACCUGCCCCCUUCUUUGGGAUAACGCCCGGAAACGGGUGCUAAUACUGGAUAUUCACUGGUCUUCGCAUGGGGGUUGGUGGAAAGGGUUUUUCUGGUGGGGGAUGGGCUCGCGGCCUAUCAGCUUGUUGGUGGGGUGAUGGCCUACCAAGGCUUUGACGGGUAGCCGGCCUGAGAGGGUGACCGGUCACAUUGGGACUGAGAUACGACCCAGACUCCUACGGGAGGCAGCAGUGGGGAAUAGUGCACAAUGGGGGCAAGCCUGAUGCAGCGACGCCGCGUGAGGGAUGGAGGCCUUCGGGUUGUGAACCUCUUUCGCUCAUGGUCAAGCCGCAACAAUGGUUGUGGUGAGGGUAGUGGGUAAAGAAGCGCCGGCUAACUACGU
This 482-nucleotide ribosomal RNA is filed under the name uncultured bacterium. Its description in RNAcentral is "partial 16S ribosomal RNA". It matches the Rfam family "Bacterial small subunit ribosomal RNA", at positions 28 to 506 of the family's 1533-position model. The record is from RNAcentral.